This 45-nucleotide non-coding RNA is filed under the name Schistosoma haematobium. The record is from RNAcentral. Lineage: Eukaryota; Metazoa; Platyhelminthes; Trematoda; Strigeidida; Schistosomatidae.
ACCCAGCUGACGAGUCCCAGAUAGGACGAAACGCACGUUCUGGAU